CGGCGGGCAAACCAUGCAGUCGAGCGAUGAAGCUUCCUUCGGGAAGUGGAUUAGCGGCGGACGGGUGAGUAACACGUGGGUAACCUGCCUCAAAGAAGGGGAUAGCCCUCCGAAAGGAGGAGUAAUACCGUAUAACAUACUUUAAUCGCAUGAUUGAAGUAUCAAAGAUUUAUCGCUUUGAGAUGGACCCGCGUCGCAUUAGCUAGUUGGUAAGGUAAUGGCUUACCAAGGCGACGAUGCGUAGCCGACCUGAGAGGGUGAUCGGCCACAUUGGGACUGAGACACGGCCCAGACUCCUACGGGAGGCAGCAGUGGGGAAUAUUGCGCAAUGGGGGAAACCCUGACGCAGCAACGCCGCGUGGGUGAUGAAGGUUUUCGGAUUGUAAAGCCCUGUUCUAUGGGACGAUAAUGACGGUACCAUAGGAGAAAGCCACGGCUAACUACGUGCCAGCAGCCGCGGUAAUACGUAGGUGGCAAGCGUUGUCCGGAAUUACUGGGCGUAAAGAGUGCGUAGGCG
RNAcentral lists this ribosomal RNA (517 nucleotides) under uncultured bacterium. RNAcentral's name for it is "bacterial SSU rRNA". It matches the Rfam family "Bacterial small subunit ribosomal RNA", at positions 40 to 577 of the family's 1533-position model. The record is from RNAcentral.